Zea mays is the source of this 327-nucleotide long non-coding RNA. RefSeq lists it as uncharacterized. The transcript has 3 exons. The record is from RefSeq and is a predicted model, not a curated record. Lineage: Eukaryota; Viridiplantae; Streptophyta; Magnoliopsida; Poales; Poaceae.
CCAGGCCCAAAAUCAAGCUCUUCUCUCGCAACUAGCCCAACAAGCGGGCGUCCCUAUGCCGACAUAUGGGAUGCCGCCUCCGGAGUUUGCACUGCCAAUUCCAAUGUUGGCGCCUCCACCACCGCCUCCGCCUCCGUCACAAUUCCCUACGGGAUUUCAGACACCACCCGCUUCAGUUGCCGCACCUGGAGAUGGGUCUGGUCAGGACGACCCAACACAUUCGUGGGUGAACAAUCUUUUCAGCACGCAUAGUCCAGCCGGAGGAGGUGGCUACUCGAACCAUCCAGACGAUGGAUAUGAUUGAUGUGUCGUGAUGUUUAUUUAUGA